Molecule: microRNA precursor, 92 nt
Filed under: Pelobates cultripes (western spadefoot toad)
Lineage: Eukaryota; Metazoa; Chordata; Amphibia; Anura; Pelobatidae
Source: RNAcentral
AUCCCAUAUAUAAAUCCCCUUAAAUACAUGCAACUAUGUAUGCAACUAUGAGAACAUAGUUUCAUAUAUUUAAGGGGAUUUAUAUAUGGGAU